This 254-nucleotide ribosomal RNA is filed under the name uncultured bacterium. Its description in RNAcentral is "partial 16S ribosomal RNA". It matches the Rfam family "Bacterial small subunit ribosomal RNA", at positions 524 to 776 of the family's 1533-position model. The record is from RNAcentral.
UACGGGGGGAGCAAGCGUUGUUCGGAUUUACUGGGCGUAAAGGGCGCGUAGGCGGUCGUGACAAGUCACUUGUGAAAUCUCCGGGCUUAACUCGGAACGGUCAAGUGAUACUGUCGGACUAGAGUACAGAAGGGGCAACUGGAAUUCUCGGUGUAGCGGUGAAAUGCGUAGAUAUCGAGAGGAACACCUGCGGCGAAGGCGGGUCUCUGGGCCGUAACUGACGCUGAGGCGCGAAAGCGUGGGGAGCAAAACGG